RNAcentral lists this ribosomal RNA (429 nucleotides) under Pseudomonadota bacterium. Its description in RNAcentral is "Proteobacteria bacterium partial 16S ribosomal RNA". It matches the Rfam family "Bacterial small subunit ribosomal RNA", at positions 355 to 776 of the family's 1533-position model. Lineage: Bacteria; Pseudomonadati; Pseudomonadota. The record is from RNAcentral.
UGGGGAAUAUUGGACAAUGGGCGAAAGCCUGAUCCAGCCAUGCCGCGUGUGUGAAGAAGGUCUUCGGAUUGUAAAGCACUUUAAGUUGGGAGGAAGGGCAGUAAGCGAAUACCUUGCUGUUUUGACGUUACCGACAGAAUAAGCACCGGCUAACUCUGUGCCAGCAGCCGCGGUAAUACAGAGGGUGCAAGCGUUAAUCGGAAUUACUGGGCGUAAAGCGCGCGUAGGUGGUUCGUUAAGUUGAAUGAGAAAGCCCCGGGCUCAACCUGGGAACUGCAUCCAAAACUGGCGAGCUAGAGUAGGGCAGAGGGUGGUGGAAUUUCCUGUGUAGCGGUGAAAUGCGUAGAUAUAGGAAGGAACACCAGUGGCGAAGGCGACCACCUGGGCUCAUACUGACACUGAGGUGCGAAAGCGUGGGGAGCAAACAGG